Molecule: non-coding RNA, 292 nt
Organism: Mycobacterium sp. KMS
Lineage: Bacteria; Bacillati; Actinomycetota; Actinomycetes; Mycobacteriales; Mycobacteriaceae
Source: Rfam
CCUCCAUGAUCUGCGGGCAGAUCAGGUGGACGUGGCAGUCGAUCGCACCCGCCGUGAGGAUCCGACCGUUGCCGGCGAUGAUCUCGGUCGACGGCCCGACCACCAGAUCGGGGUGCACGCCGUCCAUGAUGUCGGGAUUGCCGGCCUUGCCGAUCGCGACGAUGCGACCGUCGCGGAUGCCGAUGUCGGCCUUGAUGAUUCCCCAGUGAUCGAGGAUGACGGCGCCGGUGAUGACGGUGUCGGGGGCACCGUCUGCGCGGGUGGCCCUGGACUGGCCCAUCGACUCGCGCAG